UCNGNCNUNUCACAUGCAAGUCGAGCGGCAGCACGGGGAGCUUGCUCCNUGGUGCCGACGGGGGACGGGUGAGUAAGGCAUACGAAUGAGCCCGGUAGUGCGGGAUAACGAGUGGAAACCCAGACUAAUACCUCAUACGUCAUACGGGAGAAAGCAGGGGGCGUUUGGGCCUUGCGCUAUCGGAUGAGCCUAGGUCGGAUUAGCUGGUUGGUGAGGUAAUGGCUCACCAAGGCGACGAUCCGUAGCUGGUAUGAGAGGAUGAUCAGCCACAUCGGGANUGAGACACGGCCCGAACUCCUACGGGAGGCAGCAGUGGGGAAUAUUGGACAAUGGGNGCAAGCCUNAUCCAGCCAUGCCGCGUGUGUGAAGAAGGCCCUCGGGUUGUAAAGCACUUUCAGUGGGGAAGAAAGCANUNUGGUUAAUACCGAGGAGGGACUCNCGCA
This 443-nucleotide ribosomal RNA is filed under the name uncultured bacterium. Its description in RNAcentral is "partial 16S ribosomal RNA". It matches the Rfam family "Bacterial small subunit ribosomal RNA", at positions 42 to 485 of the family's 1533-position model. The record is from RNAcentral.